GGGACUUUGUGUGUCCAACGCAAGGAAGUUUAAGGCGAUAACAGGUCUGUGAUGCCCUUUUGAUGUUCGGGGCUGCACGCGCGCUACAUGGAUGCAUUCAACGAGUGUACAACCUUGCCUGAAAUGGUUGGGUAAUCUGCAAUGUGCAUCGUAAUGAGGAUAGAUGAUUGCAAUUUUGAAAUCUGCAACGAAGAAUUCCAAGUGCGCGCCAUCAGCUCGUGCUGAUUACUUCCCUGCCCUUUGUGCACACCGCCCGUCGCGCCUACCGAUUGAGUGCUUCGGUGAUUUAUUCGGAGGUUGAUUUGUUCAGCUUUGCAGAAGAUGUCUUUCGAAGUAAAGCGAACCUCAUCACUCAGAGGAAGGAGAAGUC
This 370-nucleotide ribosomal RNA is filed under the name uncultured eukaryote. RNAcentral's name for it is "bacterial SSU rRNA". It matches the Rfam family "Eukaryotic small subunit ribosomal RNA", at positions 1416 to 1790 of the family's 1831-position model. The record is from RNAcentral.